This is a long non-coding RNA of Frankliniella occidentalis (western flower thrips), 618 nucleotides long. RefSeq lists it as uncharacterized. The record is from RefSeq and is a predicted model, not a curated record. The transcript is spliced from 3 exons. Lineage: Eukaryota; Metazoa; Arthropoda; Insecta; Thysanoptera; Thripidae.
UUGGCUGGAUGCAGUUGGACUGUUCGCGGCCGGGCAUAGCCUACCUACUCCGCAGUAAUUUUGAUAUUGAAAGUUCAACAAACAUAGACUAAACGUGUUCUCAGAAUAUUCAACAAACACCAUACAUAACCGUGAGUCUAAGUAAGGUGGCGUAGCCCGUAGUGCAGGCGACAUUAUGAGUUGAACGUUUCGAAGGCCGGGGGCAGGGCAAGGGUGUAGAGGUUAUCUACCGUGAAACACCCGCAACGUCAGCCUGUUCUAGUGAGACAAUGAACUGGAUUGAACCGUCCACCGCGUUCGCCACAAGUGAGCUUAGAUGCCAUGCUGGUCGAAAGAUGCGGACGGGACUUCAAACAGCCAUAACCUCUCAUCCAAAGUGGCCGCGCCGCGGCCAUCUUAGCUGCUCGCACAGGGAAUGACAAAGAUAGCAGAUUCGUGACACCCACCUCGACGACGCCUACCUCGACGACGCCUACCUCGACGACGCCUACCUCGACGACGCCUACCUCGACGACGCCUACUUCCACGACGCCUAGCCCCGCAACGACCAGCUCUACGACCUCCUCCGCGACGUCCUCCUCCACGACGUCCUCCUCCACGACGUCCUCCUCCACGACG